Long non-coding RNA from Melanotaenia boesemani (Boeseman's rainbowfish), 292 nucleotides. RefSeq lists it as uncharacterized. Lineage: Eukaryota; Metazoa; Chordata; Actinopteri; Atheriniformes; Melanotaeniidae. The record is from RefSeq and is a predicted model, not a curated record. The transcript is spliced from 3 exons.
UAUCUUCUCCUAGUUUUUUUUUUUUUUUUUUUUUUUAAAUACGAAUGGUAGUGUUGUCGGUUUUUGAAAGCCAAUUUUGUUUAUAGAACAGCGACUUUAUUAUCUAUCAUACUUAUUGUUUUUGGCUGUGUUUGGCUUUCAUUCGUUGUUAAUGAGACUGAGAGUCCAUUCUAUUUAUUGUUUUUGUUUUGUUAUUUAAAAUUUCUUCCAGUUCCAGUGUAAAUUGUUCUGUAGUGACUACUGAUGACGUAUGUGAUUGUUGAAGGGGUGUCCUACUUCGUAGGGGUUGACU